This 558-nucleotide ribosomal RNA is filed under the name uncultured bacterium. RNAcentral describes it as "bacterial SSU rRNA". It matches the Rfam family "Bacterial small subunit ribosomal RNA", at positions 355 to 896 of the family's 1533-position model. The record is from RNAcentral.
UAGGGAAUCUUCGGCAAUGGGGGCAACCCUGACCGAGCAACGCCGCGUGAGUGAAGAAGGUUUUCGGAUCGUAAAGCUCUGUUGUAAGAGAAGAACGAGUGUGAGAGUGGAAAGUUCACACUGUGACGGUAACUUACCAGAAAGGGACGGCUAACUACGUGCCAGCAGCCGCGCGAUACGUAGGUCCCGAGCGUUAUCCGGAUUUAUAUUUAUUGGAGGUAAAGCGAGGGCUAGAUAAUUAUAAAAUUAAAGGCUGUGGGGUUACCCUUUUAACCAUAGUACGCUUUGGAAACUGUUUAACUUGAGUGCAGAAGGGGAGAGUGGAAUUCCAUGUGUAGCGGUGAAAUGCGUAGAUAUAUGGAGGAACACCGGUGGCGAAAGCGGCUCUCUGGUCUGUAACUGACGCUGAGGCUCGAAAGCGUGGGGAGCAAACAGGAUUAGAUACCCUGGUAGUCCACGCCGUAAACGAUGAGUGCUAGGUGUUGGGUCCUUUCCGGGACUCAGUGCCGCAGCUAACGCAUUAAGCACUCCGCCUGGGGGAGUACGACCGCAAGGUUG